This 381-nucleotide ribosomal RNA is filed under the name uncultured bacterium. RNAcentral's name for it is "bacterial SSU rRNA". It matches the Rfam family "Bacterial small subunit ribosomal RNA", at positions 28 to 411 of the family's 1533-position model. The record is from RNAcentral.
GACGAACGCUGGCGGCGUGCUUAACACAUGCAAGUCGAGCGGUAAGGCCCUUUCGGGGGUACGACGAGCGGCGAACGGGUGAGUAACACGUGGGUGACCUGCCCUCAGCUCUGGGAUAAGCCUCGGGAAACCGGGUCUAAUACCGGAUAUGACUCCAUGACGCAUGUUGUGGGGUGGAAAGCCUUGUGCGGCUGAGGAUGGGCCCGCGGCCUAUCAGCUUGUUGGUGGGGUGAGGCCUACCAAGGCGACGACGGGUAGCCGGCCUGAGAGGGCGACCGGCACACUGGGACUGAGACACGGCCCAGACUCCUACGGGAGGCAGCAGUGGGGAAUCUUGCGCAAUGGGCGAAAGCCUGAGCAGCGACGCCGCGUGAGGGAUGA